GGAGAGAUGCGAGAGUGGUUGAAUCGGACGGUCCCGAAAACCGUUGAACUCGCAAGGGUUCCGAGGGUUCGAAUCCCUCUCUCUCCG
RNAcentral lists this transfer RNA (87 nucleotides) under Spirochaetaceae bacterium. RNAcentral's name for it is "tRNA-Ser". It matches the Rfam family "tRNA". From Rfam's summary of the family: Transfer RNA (tRNA) molecules are approximately 80 nucleotides in length. Their secondary structure includes four short double-helical elements and three loops (D, anti-codon, and T loops). Further hydrogen bonds mediate the characteristic L-shaped molecular structure. tRNAs have two regions of fundamental functional importance: the anti-codon, which is responsible for specific mRNA codon recognition, and the 3' end, to which the tRNAs corresponding amino acid is attached (by aminoacyl-tRNA synthetases). tRNAs cope with the degeneracy of the genetic code in two manners: having more than one tRNA (with a specific anti-codon) for a particular amino acid; and 'wobble' base-pairing, i.e. permitting non-standard base-pairing at the 3rd anti-codon position. Lineage: Bacteria; Pseudomonadati; Spirochaetota; Spirochaetia; Spirochaetales; Spirochaetaceae. The record is from RNAcentral.